UGUGUGUGUGUGUGUGUGUGUGUGUUUAUAUAUAUAAACACACAUAUAACGUUUUUUUAAAAAGUCAGGGCCUGGGAGAAAAUUUUUACAAACCAUGUAUUUGAUGAAGAUUAUAUCCAGAAUAUAAAAAGAAAUCUCAAAACUAAUAAGAUAUCUCACACACAUCCUCAAAAUGGUCAGUGGGCUGGAACUGUGGCUCAGUGGUUGAGUGCUUGCCUAGCAAGUGUGAGGCACUGGAUUCAAUCCUUGGCACCACAUAAAAAUAAAUAAAGGUAUUUUUAAAAAAUGGGCAAUUAAUUUGAACAGGCACUUCGCCCACGAUUUACAAAUGGCAAAUAAUUAUGUGAAACAUUACUCAACAUCAUUCGACUAUAAAUGAAUGUAAAAUAUAGCUACAAUAACACCAACACACUUAGAAUAGCCUGAAAAAUUCUAAUAAUAGCAAGAAUUAUCAAGAAUGUAGUACAACUAUAACUACAUAGCUUGUAAUCAUGCAAAAUGGAUAGAUAGCCACAUUGCAAAACACUUUGAGGGGCAGUUUCUUAUAAAGUUAAACAUCAAUGUGACUCAGUUAGAGAAGUAUCCAAGAAAAGCUGCUCACACAAAAAUGUGAGUGCAGUGCUUUUAUUCAUCUAUUCAUCUUUCACAAUGGAAACCCAGGUAUUUUUCAACUAUUGUAGUACAUCUGUAUAAAGUACUGAUGACUGCUAUGUGAAACAAUAUGACUUUAUCUUAAAUACAUCGUGCUAAGAAGCCAGAGUCAAAAAAGUUACAUACUGUGACAACAUUUUCAUGAAAUUUUGUAAAGGUAACUUGUAUGACAGAGAAAAUAACUGGUUGCCAAAAGUCAGAUGUGAAUGAGUAAGCUGAAUGACUAUAGAGGGUCAAGAGAAUUUGGUGGCAUAAUAGAAACAUUCUGAUUGUGGUUAUUGCUAUUCACUGUAUCUAAAACUUGUGGAUCUGUAUACAUUGCACAAAGAAUUUCACUCUAUAGAAAAAAUAAAACUGCAUUUGGUGAAAAGAAGUCCUGCCCCUUUAUCACUGCUUGAUAUAAGUAGGAUAGAACUUCUGUUAAAAUUUAAGCUCUGAUCCACUUUGUUAUCUUUGGCAUGAAAUAUGCUAUUAUUUAAUAUUAAACAUGCUAUUUUCACCUUUAAAACUAUGAAAGAAUUUCUUUUUUCAAGUGAAUGAGUUCAAGGGUUUUUUAAUUUAAUUUAUGAUCGGUUUCAAAUGUAAACAAUGUCUUUAGCUUUGCUAAAGGAGAUGGUAU
RNAcentral lists this long non-coding RNA (1270 nucleotides) under Marmota monax (woodchuck). The record is from RNAcentral. Lineage: Eukaryota; Metazoa; Chordata; Mammalia; Rodentia; Sciuridae.